This 496-nucleotide ribosomal RNA is filed under the name uncultured bacterium. Its description in RNAcentral is "partial 16S ribosomal RNA". It matches the Rfam family "Bacterial small subunit ribosomal RNA", at positions 29 to 523 of the family's 1533-position model. The record is from RNAcentral.
AUUGAACGCUGGCGGAAUGCUUUACACAUGCAAGUCGAACGGUAGAGGGGGCAACCCCUCGAGAGUGGCGAACGGGUGAGUAAUAUAUCGGAACGUGCCCAGUCGUGGGGGAUAACGUAGCGAAAGUUACGCUAAUACCGCAUACGAUCUGAGGAUGAAAGCGGGGGACCGUAAGGCCUCGCGCGAUCGGAGCGGCCGAUGUCAGAUUAGGUAGUUGGUGGGGUAAAGGCCCACCAAGCCGACGAUCUGUAGCUGGUCUGAGAGGACGACCAGCCACACUGGGACUGAGACACGGCCCAGACUCCUACGGGAGGCAGCAGUGGGGAAUUUUGGACAAUGGGCGAAAGCCUGAUCCAGCAAUGCCGCGUGCAGGAAGAAGGCCUUCGGGUUGUAAACUGCUUUUGUACGGAGCGAAAAGGUCCUUUCUAAUACAAGGGGCUCAUGACGGUACCGUAAGAAUAAGCACCGGCUAACUACGUGCCAGCAGCCGCGGUAA